RNAcentral lists this ribosomal RNA (254 nucleotides) under uncultured prokaryote. Its description in RNAcentral is "partial 16S ribosomal RNA". It matches the Rfam family "Bacterial small subunit ribosomal RNA", at positions 524 to 777 of the family's 1533-position model. The record is from RNAcentral.
UACGGAGGAUGCAAGCGUUAUCCGGAUUUAUUGGGUUUAAAGGGUGCGCAGGUUGUUUGAUAAGUAAGUGGUGAAAGUCUGUCGCUUAACGGUAGGAUUGCCAUUGAUACUGUUAGACUUGAAUAUGGAUGAGGUAGGCGGAAUGUGUAGUGUAGCGGUGAAAUGCAUAGAUAUUACACAGAACACCGAUUGCGAAGGCAGCUUACUAAUCCAUCAUUGACGCUGAGGCACGAAAGCGUGGGGAUCAAACAGGA